This is a long non-coding RNA of Chinchilla lanigera (long-tailed chinchilla), 4649 nucleotides long. RefSeq lists it as uncharacterized. Lineage: Eukaryota; Metazoa; Chordata; Mammalia; Rodentia; Chinchillidae. The record is from RefSeq and is a predicted model, not a curated record. The transcript has 2 exons.
AUAAAUCCCCAGUAUGAGGCACAUUAAACUUCACAUAGGGCCAGACAGCUAUGUGUGCAAGAUGCUACCUGCAUAAAUUGGGUUUUUCCUGGAUAUGGAGGGGCAACACAUAGAGAAGAAGAAACGCAUACGUGUGUGCAGGUUUGGGCACAUGCACACGAAGCCUGGAGGGAUUCCCUUUGGAUCACAGUCAAAAUGGACUUACAAGAGGGAUUCGGUAUGAGCACAUACUUCUCCCGAUGUACUACACACGGCCCACCCCUACCAGCCAGGGUCUCUGGAGAGCGAUCAGCACCUGCUUCAGCUCUGGCCAAAGCUGUUUUUUUGGCCUGUGUGAAGGGCAGAAAACUAGAAUGGGGACACAGGAGCAUCUCAGAGACUUGUGGAGAAGUCGCGUCUCCUACCACUUUCUGUGAGUCUGCUGAACGUCUUCUCAGCACAGAAGCGUCUUUCCCAACAUGCAAUCAGGAGCUGCUGAGACACAUCAUGGCGCAAGCUUGAACCAGAAUUAAUGUUAACCUUUGACCAUCCACUCAUCACUUCUGUGUGCCACUCACUGGGCUAAGCACCAUCUCACUUAACUCUCACAACUAUCCUUCAAGGUUUGCCUCUGAGAGGAGGGGAAAGUGGAAUAUACUCUGCCCCGCAGUCUGCUGAAGAAAUGUACUCCUGGGGCCUGAAAAUCAAGUGAAGCCAUCUGGCUUAGACAGCUCAGCAGCAUGAAGAUCAAAGUCACGUGUGAGCUUUGUGCACCGGCAGCUUUUCUUCAUCUCAGGCUACAAAUCUUUGGCAAUCCGAGGCAGGCUCUGAAUUAAGCUUAAUUAAAAUUCAGUCUUAAUUAGGGCCAUUACUUAAAACCAACUCUUAUGUAAUAAAGCUGUGUAAUCAUAAUUAAGCCCCAGGAAUGGAAUUAGGAAGCACAGAAUGCAAAAGCCAAACAUGCAUGUGCCUGAUGCUGAUGGAGGCAGUGACAGUGACUUCUUGAAUUGACAGAAUUUUUAAAUAACCAAAGACCGGUGAGUGUGCUCUUGACCCCACCUGCAGGCCCCAAGCCGGUGCACCUAAUCCUGGCAGAGUAGGAAGAUCUGGCAUUUGAGUUGAAUGUGGAAGAGGCUGUUAGGUUUUAAUUCCAGAGCUGUGGAAGAGAAAAACAGAGCACAUUCUUCCCCAUUCUAUUGGUUGACUUAGACUUCCAGUUUCCUUACACAUAAGUCUUGGGGUUCAUUUCCAGAAGGAGUAGAGGGAUGUAUAAGCAUCUGCACCCAAAAAUCAACUGCUUCCAGUUUGAGUCCUGAAUUGUUCAGGGCUGCCUCAUGGUUCUUAUGCAGCAUAUGGGAGCUGACUGUACGCCGGGCACUGAACUGGGCUCUCACUGAGUUUUUUACCCAAGUGCCACCGGUCAGGAAUUAUUAGUCCCAUUUUGCAAAUGAAGAAGUUGAGGCACAGAGAAGCAAAGCACAAUAGCUCAUUGGCCAAAGGAAAAUAUAGCCUGUGAUCCCAUAUUGGGUGUUCAGUUCACUCUAUCAACUCCGCACUCUGCCAGAGAUACCAUCUAGGCCAGGUGCCUCCCAGACAGCUUCCACCCAUAGCAGGGUCAGCACAAAGGUUGGUCUUUUCUACACCUAAACUUAAAACUAAAUGUUCCUUUGGAGCCAGAAAGGUUCAGCAGUUCACAUUCUCCGAACAGCGUCAGGCCCAUGCAGUGAUUCUCCUCACUGGCAUUAACUCUGCUUGCAUGCACCUAGAGAUGCGGGGGGACAUCAUUGCUUAUGGAGGUAAGCUCUUACAUUGGAUGACAGUGUGGAGAUGGAGAGAAAUUUGGCCUGAGUCUGUUGUUCACGAAGCUUUCCAUCUCCGACUUUAAAUAUCAACUUCCGGUGAUGCACACAGAGUCACUGUGACUGGGUGGUUCUGUGUUCAGUGUUAAUCAGUGAAUGCAAAGAUUGCAGUCCUAUUACAGUUUUUAAAAAUCUGUAUUAGCGUUUCCUCAUGUGUCAGUGUAGCAGGAACCUUAACUGGGACAGAAAGCCUGGUCCAUUUCCUCAGCCCAGGAGGCCCUGAGAGUUGAUACGGACAUUCUUUACUAUGGGCUCAGCUAUACAUUUGGAGCUUUGCCUCUCCCUGGAAAGGCCCAUGGAGGGGUCAAAGGUUCUUGUGUCACUGUCCCACAGGAAGGUGGAUGGCUAGAGGAUGGAUUUGCUUGGAUAGGAAAGCUACCCAGUACUGACCUGGCAUGGCCCUGAGCUCUGCUGCUUUGGAGUGGAGGGUAAGUUGUGGUGAGCAGGCGAACUUGUGGCCAGCUGGGGUUCCCCAGGAUCCCAGGGGCUCUGCUCCGCAAGUGAAUAGUGGCUGCUUCCCAGGGUCCGUACUGCAUUGCCCCACUUCUCAAUUCCAGGACACUCUUCCUGUGAUAUUUUAUGCAAAUACCUACCAUAACGUUGCUCCAUAAAGGUCCUACUUAAAUGCAAACCUCAGUGCCAGAGGGUGCCUGCGGCGUGAGCUAAUGUCACACUCUGGGGCUGACCCCCAAAUGGUGAAUGGUUGGCUUACACCGCUCAUAGACACUGGCUCCUGACCUGAGGAGGCCAUGGUUCUUCUCCCAGCGUGACUUCUUUGUCCUUCAACCCUGAUAGCAUUUGCCUUUAUUUACACUAAAUAGAGCCAGCCCCACUUGUGGGUUCCUGUGUUUUGGGCAAGCCCAGCUGGAGGUCCCCACAGCCAGUCCCAGCAAGGAGCUGCCACCCUGGUGGCGGUCACACGCAAGGUUCUCCCUGGCGGAGCAGCUCUUCCAAGAGUUUAGCAAACACUUUGUGUCCCACAAAACAUGUGAGGUAAUGUUUAUACAACACCGGUCUGCCCCUUUGAGCAGGCUGUGGGGGUGCCGGCCUGACCCAGUAGCGCUCAUGGUGGCCGCACUUUCCUCACCCACCUUAAAUUCCCCCGGUUUUCCUCCUGCUGCCCUUCGUGGGCUGGGAAACGUACUCAUGCUUUUCCCCACAGCAGACGAGCCUGGGAGCGGGGAAUAAAGUACCACUGACCCUCUCACAGCCUUCCCUGUCUCCAUUCUUCAGGGUACAUUCACAGUACGAUGGACCUUGUUUUACAUAGAAAGAAACUGAGGCAGAGAACAACAAGGCAUCUGGGCAAAAGCUAUAAAGUAGAUUGGUAGCUGGGCUGCGAAUUGAGGGUCCUACCUCUAAAGUCACCCUCUGAACUGCUAUAUCUUAGGUAGUUGUUUAUUUAAAGACCUCGGGUUUUGUUUACAGAUGGAAGGAAGGAAGGAUGGAAGGUGGAUGGAUAGAUCGAUGGACAAAUAGCUAUAUAUAUGAGAUAGCUGGACAAGUGAAGUGGUUAGAGACGGGACUGUGUAUGUAGGUAGAUAUAUAGAAAGGUAAUUAUAUAAUUCUAUUAGAAUACAUAAGAAACUGCUUUUGGAAAAAGAAUAAGGAGUUUGGUGUGUGUGUGUGUGUGUGUGAGAGAGAGAGAGAGAGACUGAGAGAGAGAAUUACUUUUAUUGAUUGUUCCAUGCUCCCUCUGAAAUGUUGGAAGGCUGUGCAUGUACACAAAUUGGUUUUUAAAUCUUUUCUGCUUCUUUGCCCUCUUUCGCAGUGCCUCUGUCCACAGGCGAGGUCCGCUGUGGGAGAGUCCUUGUGGGAGUCUACAAAGUCAUUGCCCUGCGGAAACCUACUCGCUCAAUGACCCAAAUCCAUCGGAUGCUCUCAGGUGCAUGGGUGGUGCAGCAUGGAAGGUAGAAGAAGCUCAGAUUUUGGAGUCUUGAGACUGGCCCCAGGGCUGCUCCAGUGACCUUGACUCCUGAUCCAAUGACCAGAGGACCUCGGCAAUGGCAGCAGCCAAAAUGUUGUUUCGCAUUUAGAAAUGUGAUGAAUUGGAAACCAACUGCAAUCUCAACAGCUUGGAGCUGGUUAAGUGAUUUUGAGCUUAUGUGGCUAGUACAACAAAUCACAAAUCUAUCUUUUCUACACCCAAUAUUAGCGUGAAACAAGCGAGCAGAUCCUUUAUGCAGUUAGGGUUCCUCAGAAUGGAAUAUGCAGAAUUCAAGUCAAAAUAUGCCAAAAUGUUAGCAAUUAACUCUGUAUAUAUAGCUAGUAUUAUUUUUCAUAUUUGCAAUGUAUAAACGUGAUUUUUAUUAUAAAAUAAACCCUUAUCUGGAAUAGUCUCUUAGAUCAAGUGCAAGAACAUAAAUAUGAGCAUAGGGCAAGUGGAAGAAAAUAAAGCAAAAUGAUACCUUUGGGUGGUAGGAUCAGAACAUUUUUGCCUCCCAUCUUUAUAGUUUUUGAAUUUUCUGUGUUUACUUUUACAAUGGGUAUUAAUACUUAACAUGAUUUUAAAAAUGAGUGAAGAAGGAAACAGUGGUCAGUUUUGGUUCAGGCAAAACUUCAGCCUCUCCAAAAGCCCCACAAGUCAAAUGUUUGAUGUUUUCUGCACCUAUAAACCAUGCACAUCAUUUGGCACUGAGGAAGUAAGGGUGAGGAAAUAUAAAAGUGAAGGAAAUGCAAGCACUUUAAUCAAAUAAAUCACAGGCCUGCCGGGGAGAAAAGAACCUUCAUUAUACAGUUCAAAUUGCAAAGUCUUAAUCCUAGAAGUUUAUUUGUUAAGAGUAAUAGUAAUAAAAGUGACAAUAUAUUGAA